AGCGAACGCUGGCGGCAGGCUUAACACAUGCAAGUCGAACGCCACGCAAGGGGAGUGGCAGACGGGUGAGUAACACGUGGGAACGUACCCUUUGGUUCGGAAUAACUUGGGGAAACUCAAGCUAAUACCGGAUAAGCCCUUAUGGGGAAAGGUUUACUGCCGAAGGAUCGGCCCGCGUCUGAUUAGCUAGUUGGUGAGGUAAUGGCUCACCAAGGCGACGAUCAGUAGCUGGUCUGAGAGGAUGAUCAGCCACACUGGGACUGAGACACGGCCCAGACUCCUACGGGAGGCAGCAGUGGGGAAUAUUGGACAAUGGGGGCAACCCUGAUCCAGCCAUGCCGCGUGAGUGAUGAAGGCCUUAGGGUUGUAAAGCUCUUUUACCCGGGACGAUAAUGACUGUACCGGGAGAAUAAGCCCCGGCUAACUUCGUGCCAGCAGCCGCAGUAA
Molecule: ribosomal RNA, 447 nt
Filed under: uncultured bacterium
Lineage: Bacteria
Description: partial 16S ribosomal RNA
Rfam family: Bacterial small subunit ribosomal RNA
Source: RNAcentral